Molecule: ribosomal RNA, 253 nt
Filed under: uncultured bacterium
Lineage: Bacteria
Description: partial 16S ribosomal RNA
Rfam family: Bacterial small subunit ribosomal RNA
Source: RNAcentral
UACGAAGGGUGCAAGCGUUACUCGGAAUUACUGGGCGUCAAGCGUGCGUAGGUGGUUCGUUAAGUCUGAUGUGAAAGCCCUGGGCUCAACCUGGGAAUGGCAUUGGAAACUGGCGACCUAGAGUGCGGUAGAGGGUAGUGGAAUUCCCGGUGUAGCAGUGAAAUGCGUAGAGAUCGGGAGGAACAUCCGUGGCGAAGGCGACUACCUGGACCAGCACUGACACUGAGGCACGAAAGCGUGGGGAGCAAACAGG